This 440-nucleotide ribosomal RNA is filed under the name uncultured bacterium. Its description in RNAcentral is "bacterial SSU rRNA". It matches the Rfam family "Bacterial small subunit ribosomal RNA", at positions 355 to 787 of the family's 1533-position model. The record is from RNAcentral.
UGGGGAAUAUUGGACAAUGGGCGCAAGCCUGAUCCAGCCAUGCCGCGUGUGUGAAGAAGGCCUUAGGGUUGUAAAGCACUUUCAGGGGUGAGGAAGGGUAAUGAAUUAAUACUUUAUUACUUUGACGUUAGCCCCAGAAGAAGCACCGGCUAACUCUGUGCCAGCAGCCGCGGUAAUACAGAGGGUGCAAGCGUUAAUCGGAAUUACUGGGCGUAAAGCGCGCGUAGGUGGUUUGUUAAGUCGGAUGUGAAAUCCCAGGGCUCAACCUUGGAUGGCACCCGGAUACUGGCUAGCUAGAGUAUGGUAGAGGGGUGUGGAAUUUCCUGUGUAGCGGUGAAAUGCGUAGAUAUAGGAAGGAACAUCAGUGGCGAAGGCGACACCCUGGACUAAUACUGACACUGAGGUGCGAAAGCGUGGGGAGCAAACAGGAUUAGAUACCC